This 370-nucleotide RNase P RNA is filed under the name Thiohalomonas denitrificans. RNAcentral describes it as "Bacterial RNase P class A". It matches the Rfam family "Bacterial RNase P class A". Rfam says of the family: Ribonuclease P (RNase P) is a ubiquitous endoribonuclease, found in archaea, bacteria and eukarya as well as chloroplasts and mitochondria. Its best characterised activity is the generation of mature 5'-ends of tRNAs by cleaving the 5'-leader elements of precursor-tRNAs. Lineage: Bacteria; Pseudomonadati; Pseudomonadota; Gammaproteobacteria; Thiohalomonadales; Thiohalomonadaceae. The record is from Rfam by way of RNAcentral.
GAAGUCGGCCGGACAGUCGCUGCACCUCGUGUGUGGAGGAAAGUCCGGGCUCCGCAGGGCAGGGUGCCAGGUAACGCCUGGGCGGCGAGAGCCGAUGGAAAGUGCCGCAGAAAAUUACCGCCGAUGGCCCUCCACGGGAGGCGCACAGGUAAGGGUGAAAAGGUGCGGUAAGAGCGCACCGCGCGGGUGGUAACACGCCGCGGCAAAGGUAAACCCCACCCGGAGCAAGACCAAAUAGGGGAACAGGCGAUUUCGAUCGCCGCGUGUGGCCCGCACGGUUCCCGGGUAGGUCGCUUGAGGCGCACGGUGACGUGUCGCCCAGAUGAAUGACUGUCCCCGACAGAACCCGGCUUACAGGCCGGCUUCCUCC